This 2906-nucleotide ribosomal RNA is filed under the name Klebsiella michiganensis. RNAcentral describes it as "23S ribosomal RNA". It matches the Rfam family "Bacterial large subunit ribosomal RNA". Lineage: Bacteria; Pseudomonadati; Pseudomonadota; Gammaproteobacteria; Enterobacterales; Enterobacteriaceae. The record is from RNAcentral.
GGUUAAGCGACUAAGCGUACACGGUGGAUGCCCUGGCAGUCAGAGGCGAUGAAGGACGUGCUAAUCUGCGAAAAGCGUCGGUAAGGUGAUAUGAACCGUUACAGCCGGCGAUGUCCGAAUGGGGAAACCCAGUGCAAUUCGUUGCACUAUCGUUAACUGAAUACAUAGGUUAACGAGGCGAACCGGGGGAACUGAAACAUCUAAGUACCCCGAGGAAAAGAAAUCAACCGAGAUUCCCCCAGUAGCGGCGAGCGAACGGGGAGCAGCCCGGAGUCUGAAUCAGCUUGUGUGUUAGUGGAAGCGUCUGGAAAGUCGCAGGGUACAGGGUGAUACUCCCGUACACUAAAACACACAGGUUGUGAACUCGAAGAGUAGGGCGGGACACGUGGUAUCCUGUCUGAAUAUGGGGGGACCAUCCUCCAAGGCUAAAUACUCCUGACUGACCGAUAGUGAACCAGUACCGUGAGGGAAAGGCGAAAAGAACCCCGGCGAGGGGAGUGAAAAAGAACCUGAAACCGUGUACGUACAAGCAGUAGGAGCCCACUAGUUGGGUGACUGCGUACCUUUUGUAUAAUGGGUCAGCGACUUAUAUUCUGUAGCAAGGUUAACCGUAUAGGGGAGCCGCAGGGAAACCGAGUCUUAACUGGGCGUUAAGUUGCAGGGUAUAGACCCGAAACCCGGUGAUCUAGCCAUGGGCAGGUUGAAGGUUGGGUAACACUAACUGGAGGACCGAACCGACUAAUGUUGAAAAAUUAGCGGAUGACUUGUGGCUGGGGGUGAAAGGCCAAUCAAACCGGGAGAUAGCUGGUUCUCCCCGAAAGCUAUUUAGGUAGCGCCUCGUGAAUUCAUCUUCGGGGGUAGAGCACUGUUUCGGCUAGGGGGUCAUCCCGACUUACCAACCCGAUGCAAACUACGAAUACCGAAGAAUGUUAUCACGGGAGACACACGGCGGGUGCUAACGUCCGUCGUGAAGAGGGAAACAACCCAGACCGCCAGCUAAGGUCCCAAAGUCAUGGUUAAGUGGGAAACGAUGUGGGAAGGCCCAGACAGCCAGGAUGUUGGCUUAGAAGCAGCCAUCAUUUAAAGAAAGCGUAAUAGCUCACUGGUCGAGUCGGCCUGCGCGGAAGAUGUAACGGGGCUAAACCAUGCACCGAAGCUGCGGCAGCGACACUAUGUGUUGUUGGGUAGGGGAGCGUUCUGUAAGCCGUUGAAGGUGGCCUGUGAGGGUUGCUGGAGGUAUCAGAAGUGCGAAUGCUGACAUAAGUAACGAUAAUGCGGGUGAAAAACCCGCACGCCGGAAGACCAAGGGUUCCUGUCCAACGUUAAUCGGGGCAGGGUGAGUCGACCCCUAAGGCGAGGCCGAAAGGCGUAGUCGAUGGGAAACAGGUUAAUAUUCCUGUACUCGGUGUUACUGCGAAGGGGGGACGGAGAAGGCUAUGUUGGCCGGGCGACGGUUGUCCCGGUUUAAGCAUGUAGGCGGAUGUUCCAGGUAAAUCCGGAACGUCACUAACGCUGAGGUGUGAUGACGAGGCACUACGGUGCUGAAGUGACAAAUGCCCUGCUUCCAGGAAAAGCCUCUAAGCAUCAGGUAACAUCAAAUCGUACCCCAAACCGACACAGGUGGUCAGGUAGAGAAUACCAAGGCGCUUGAGAGAACUCGGGUGAAGGAACUAGGCAAAAUGGUGCCGUAACUUCGGGAGAAGGCACGCUGAUGGUAGGUGAAGUGACUUGCUCAUGGAGCUGAAAUCAGUCGAAGAUACCAGCUGGCUGCAACUGUUUAUUAAAAACACAGCACUGUGCAAACACGAAAGUGGACGUAUACGGUGUGACGCCUGCCCGGUGCCGGAAGGUUAAUUGAUGGGGUUAUCCGUAAGGAGAAGCUCUUGAUCGAAGCCCCGGUAAACGGCGGCCGUAACUAUAACGGUCCUAAGGUAGCGAAAUUCCUUGUCGGGUAAGUUCCGACCUGCACGAAUGGCGUAAUGAUGGCCAGGCUGUCUCCACCCGAGACUCAGUGAAAUUGAACUCGCUGUGAAGAUGCAGUGUACCCGCGGCAAGACGGAAAGACCCCGUGAACCUUUACUAUAGCUUGACACUGAACACUGGUCCUUGAUGUGUAGGAUAGGUGGGAGGCUUUGAAGUGUGGACGCCAGUCUGCAUGGAGCCAUCCUUGAAAUACCACCCUUUAAUGGCUGGUGUUCUAACGUGGGCCCGUAAUCCGGGUUGCGGACAGUGUCUGGUGGGUAGUUUGACUGGGGCGGUCUCCUCCUAAAGAGUAACGGAGGAGCACGAAGGUCAGCUAAUCCUGGUCGGACAUCAGGAGGUUAGUGCAAUGGCAUAAGCUGGCUUGACUGCGAGCGUGACGGCGCGAGCAGGUGCGAAAGCAGGUCAUAGUGAUCCGGUGGUUCUGAAUGGAAGGGCCAUCGCUCAACGGAUAAAAGGUACUCCGGGGAUAACAGGCUGAUACCGCCCAAGAGUUCAUAUCGACGGCGGUGUUUGGCACCUCGAUGUCGGCUCAUCACAUCCUGGGGCUGAAGUAGGUCCCAAGGGUAUGGCUGUUCGCCAUUUAAAGUGGUACGCGAGCUGGGUUUAGAACGUCGUGAGACAGUUCGGUCCCUAUCUGCCGUGGGCGCUGGAGAAUUGAGGGGGGCUGCUCCUAGUACGAGAGGACCGGAGUGGACGCAUCACUGGUGUUCGGGUUGUCAUGCCAAUGGCAUUGCCCGGUAGCUAAAUGCGGAAGAGAUAAGUGCUGAAAGCAUCUAAGCACGAAACUUGCCCCGAGAUGAGUUCUCCCUGACCCUUUAAGGGUCCUGAAGGAACGUUGAAGACGACGACGUUGAUAGGCCGGGUGUGUAAGCGCAGCGAUGCGUUGAGCUAACCGGUACUAAUGAACCGUGAGGCUUAACCUU